RNAcentral lists this ribosomal RNA (368 nucleotides) under uncultured organism. RNAcentral describes it as "bacterial SSU rRNA". It matches the Rfam family "Bacterial small subunit ribosomal RNA", at positions 526 to 896 of the family's 1533-position model. The record is from RNAcentral.
CGAAGGAUGCAAGCGUUAUCCGGAUUCACUGGGUUUAAAGGGUGUGCAGGUGGGGUAAUAAGUCAGUGGUGAAAGCCCCCGACUCAAUCGGGGAACUGCCAUAGAUACUGUUAUUCUUGAGUGUGGUUGAGGCGGAUGGAAUAUGACAUGUAGCGGUGAAAUGCUUAGAUAUGUCAUAGAACACCGAUCGCGAAGGCAGUCCGCCAAACCAUUACUGACACUGAAACACGAAAGUGCGGGGAUCAAACAGGAUUAGAUACCCUGGUAGUCCGCACCGUAAACGAUGAUCACUCGUUGUUGGCGACAUACAGUCAGCGACUAAGCGAAAGCAUUAAGUGAUCCACCUGGGAAGUACGACCGCAAGGUUG